This 524-nucleotide ribosomal RNA is filed under the name uncultured bacterium. RNAcentral describes it as "bacterial SSU rRNA". It matches the Rfam family "Bacterial small subunit ribosomal RNA", at positions 778 to 1304 of the family's 1533-position model. The record is from RNAcentral.
AUAGAUACCCGGGUAGUCCACGCCGUAAACGAUGUCGACUUGGAGGUUGUUCCCUUGAGGAGUGGCUUCCGGAGCUAACGCGUUAAGUCGACCGCCUGGGGAGUACGGCCGCAAGGUUAAAACUCAAAUGAAUUGACGGGGGCCCGCACAAGCGGUGGAGCAUGUGGUUUAAUUCGAUGCAACGCGAAGAACCUUACCUACUCUUGACAUCCAGAGAACUUAGCAGAGAUGCUUUGGUGCCUUCGGGAACUCUGAGACAGGUGCUGCAUGGCUGUCGUCAGCUCGUGUUGUGAAAUGUUGGGUUAAGUCCCGCAACGAGCGCAACCCUUAUCCUUUGUUGCCAGCGGUUCGGCCGGGAACUCAAAGGAGACUGCCAGUGAUAAACUGGAGGAAGUGGGAUGACGUCAAGUCAUCAUGGCCCUUACGAGUAGGGCUACACACGUGCUACAAUGGCGUAUACAAAGAGAAGCGACCUCGCGAGAGCAAGCGGACCUCAUAAAGUACGUCGUAGUCCGGAUUGGAGU